GUACCCUUAGCUCAGUUGGUUAGAGCAGACGGCUCAUAACCGUCCGGUCGUAGGUUCGAGUCCUACAUGGUACAUCA
RNAcentral lists this transfer RNA (77 nucleotides) under Enterococcus durans. RNAcentral's name for it is "tRNA-Met". It matches the Rfam family "tRNA". Rfam says of the family: Transfer RNA (tRNA) molecules are approximately 80 nucleotides in length. Their secondary structure includes four short double-helical elements and three loops (D, anti-codon, and T loops). Further hydrogen bonds mediate the characteristic L-shaped molecular structure. tRNAs have two regions of fundamental functional importance: the anti-codon, which is responsible for specific mRNA codon recognition, and the 3' end, to which the tRNAs corresponding amino acid is attached (by aminoacyl-tRNA synthetases). tRNAs cope with the degeneracy of the genetic code in two manners: having more than one tRNA (with a specific anti-codon) for a particular amino acid; and 'wobble' base-pairing, i.e. permitting non-standard base-pairing at the 3rd anti-codon position. The record is from RNAcentral. Lineage: Bacteria; Bacillati; Bacillota; Bacilli; Lactobacillales; Enterococcaceae.